RNAcentral lists this ribosomal RNA (497 nucleotides) under uncultured bacterium. RNAcentral's name for it is "partial 16S ribosomal RNA". It matches the Rfam family "Bacterial small subunit ribosomal RNA", at positions 28 to 507 of the family's 1533-position model. The record is from RNAcentral.
GAUGAACGCUGGCGGCGUGCCUAAUGCAUGCAAGUCGAGCGAAAGGACGAGUAGCUUGCCUCUCUGAUGUUAGCGGCGGACGGGUGAGUAACACGUGGAUCACCUACCUAUAAGUCAGGGAUAACUUCGGGAAACCGGAGCUCAUACCGGAUGAUAUUUUGAACCGCAUGGUUCCAAAGUGAAAGACGGUCUUGCUGUCACUUAUAGAUGGAUCCGCGCUGCAUUAGCUAGUUGGUAAGGUAACGGCUUACCAAGGCAACGAUGCAUAGCCGACCUGAGAGGGUGAUCAGCCACACUGGGACUGAGACACGGUCCAGACUCCUACGGGAGGCAGCAGUAGGGAAUCUUCCGCAAUGGGCGAAAGCCUGACGGAGCAACGCCGCGUGAGUGAUGAAGGUCUUCGGAUCGUAAAACUCUGUUAUUAGGGAAGAACAGAUGUGUAAGUAACUGUGCACAUCUUGACGGUACCUAAACAGAAAGCCACGGCUAACUACGUG